Molecule: long non-coding RNA, 398 nt
Filed under: Vitis vinifera (wine grape)
Lineage: Eukaryota; Viridiplantae; Streptophyta; Magnoliopsida; Vitales; Vitaceae
Description: long non-coding RNA (VVIN_LNC006592)
Source: RNAcentral
AACAAAGAUGAAUUCAUCAUAACACUUUUUGGACGUGAUUGUCCAUUCCCUCCUUCCCAAGUUUCCUUGUAGUAUAGUUGAACCCUUUUGUCCUUGGGGCCAGCCCCUAAUUAAUGCAGCUUUUCCACUUCUUUUUUCGUUGUCCUCUUGCAGAAUGACUCUCAAACUGGGUAGGAAUCAAUUUGUCUGUUAUAUAAAAUAAAAUAAAACAAGUUAUGUACAAAUUAAGCACAAACAAAUCAUGCAUUGAUCCUUAUCAUAAUGUCAUAAUUUUGCUGUGAAAAACUAAGCCAAACAUUGAUCCAUGACAAAGAUGGAAUUGGACUGACCAUUGGUCAAAUUGAUGUCAGUUAUGCCAGUGAGAUCUUGCUUCUUUAACAACCCUGACAAAUAUUCCU